GACGAACGCUGGCGGCGUGCUUAACACAUGCAAGUCGAACGGUGAACCCGGAGCUUGCUCCGGUGGAUUAGUGGCGAACGGGUGAGUAACACGUGAGUAACCUGCCCUUGACUCUGGGAUAACUGCGGGAAACUGUAGCUAAUACCGGAUACGACCCUCGGCGGCAUCGCCAGGGGGUGGAAAGAAUUUCGGUCAAGGAUGGACUCGCGGCCUAUCAGCUAGUUGGUGAGGUAACGGCUCACCAAGGCGACGACGGGUAGCCGGCCUGAGAGGGUGACCGGCCGCACUGGGACUGAGACACGGCCCAGACUCCUACGGGAGGCAGCAGUGGGGAAUAUUGCACAAUGGGCGCAAGCCUGAUGCAACAACGCCGCGUGAGGGAUGACGGCCUUCGGGUUGUAAACCUCUUUUAGUAGGGAAGAAGCGAAAGUGACGGUACCUGCAGAAAAAGCACCGGCUAACUACGUGCCAGCCGCCGCCGUAA
RNAcentral lists this ribosomal RNA (484 nucleotides) under uncultured bacterium. RNAcentral describes it as "partial 16S ribosomal RNA". It matches the Rfam family "Bacterial small subunit ribosomal RNA", at positions 28 to 523 of the family's 1533-position model. The record is from RNAcentral.